AAAACCACACUGAACUGCCCGGAACUAAUGUAGCCUAGUCAGCUGGCUUCGUUUCCCAAAGAAAGAUUUGAGAGAUGUACUUCAGCGUUACCGUUUGUUUUUGUUUCCGUUUGGUGGAUUCUAUCUGGAAAGCAAGUAGCUAAUCCUUCAUGAAGCCCUAAUUAAUCGCAUAACUUAACCACAGUGUGCAACAUGUCAGAAUCUGGCCACAUUCAACCUGGCAUGUAUGGACAGGGACAGAGGAGAAGGCCACGCCGAGACAGAGAUGUGGGUCCCCCGGGGCAAAACCUCUCUGGUCCCAGUCGAGAUCGAGAAUAUGUCCCCAGAGAACGCAGGGAUGUCAGUGAGGAGCUUCCAGGACCACUUUCAGGCUCAUGUUAGGAAUGGCUAACAGCAGGACAUGCCUCUUGAGAACAGGAAGUUCCUUCUCCAUUGUCUCCACCAGUUUGGGGAAGUCAUGGAGAGGUACUGAAAUUGGAGAUGAGGAAGACCUGAGGAGACUCCACACCAUGAUACUAGAAGUCCUAAGUUGAGCAAAGCAUAUAAAAUGAAGACCAGUACAACCACAACAGUAACUGUAUUUCCAUUUUAUCCAGUAAGUGUUAACGAAAGAACUAUGUGUAUUGUAAAAUGAAAGACGAGUGAAAGUGUUUUACAUAUAUGCGUCGUUGGCCUGGAAAGACUAGCGUGUUCAUUCAAUCAUUGUAAUUCUCCCGGCUACAACUAUGGCAAUUUCCAUGGUUUGUUCAUGGCUGUUCGUGUAGUAGGUAUAUCAUCUAUUUAUAAUGUUCCUGUCCACUUUACCUGGACAUCGAGUUGAUCUAGCUAAUAAUAAUAAUAAUAGACAUUCACCACUUACCAAGAGGAGGUUUCGUAUAGUCGUGGUCACAGUUAAGUGUCCGGCUCCUGUUCUCGGUUUCUCGAACAUCAACUCCAAGACGAGCCUUUGCCCUUUCAUAUCCAGAUUCCCGCGUUGUUGCGGGAUGAUAGUCGUUCCAUUGGAAACGUCUAGGAACAGCCCCGACUUCAGACCCUUGCGGUCUGACGAAGUCGCCAGGGUUGAAGUGUAAGUUGCAAAUAUACAGAAUGGGCUUCCUCGACGUCUCUUCUAAUUGCAUGCCCCCACUUCUUCAAUGCGAGGGGGAUAUAUGAGCACUGCGGGACACUACAAACACGUAUGUUUUUCGAGUCCGCCAUUGGCAUUUCUGUUGCCGGAAGUGCGUCGACCCACCUGCAGCUACUUCCGCUUUUAAGAGCCAGGAAUUGUGUAUAUAGCCACUCUUCAGAUCCGUUCCACCCAAAUAUAUUUGUUACUGUAGCUAGCUGCUGCAUAUCAGUAGAGUAGUAUCCAUUACAUUUGAACUGAUGUUGUAGCUAUCUGUUCCCAUUUUAUUUUGACAGUUAACCACAGUGUGCAACAUGUCAGAAUCUGGCCACAUUCAACCUGGCAUGUAUGGACAGGGAGUGAGGAGAAGGCCACGCCGAGACAGAGAUGUGGGUCCCCCGGGGCAAAACCUCUCUGGUCCCAGUCGAGAUCGAGAAUAUGUCCCCAGAGAACGCAGGGAUGUCAGUGAGGAGCUUCCAGGACCACUUUCAGGCUCAUGUUAGGAAUGGCUAACAGCAGGACAUGCCUCUUGAGAACAGGAAGUUCCUUCUCCAUUGUCUCCACCAGUUUGGGGAAGUCAUGGAGAGGUACUGAAAUUGGAGAUGAGGAAGACCUGAGUAGACUCCACACCAUGAUACUAGAAGUCCUAAGUUGAGCAAAGCAUAUAAAAUGAAGACCAGUACAACCACAACAGUAACUGUAUUUCCAUUUUAUCCAGUGAUAAAAAAAGGGCCACUUUUUAACUCAUGUUUUUAUGUACCAUUGCGCUCAAACUCAAAAUGUUGGUGUGUUAAACCAAUAUACCACGAAUAA
Molecule: long non-coding RNA, 1918 nt
Organism: Oncorhynchus kisutch (coho salmon)
Lineage: Eukaryota; Metazoa; Chordata; Actinopteri; Salmoniformes; Salmonidae
Exons: 4
Source: RefSeq, a predicted model, not a curated record